Molecule: transfer RNA, 72 nt
Filed under: Candidatus Micrarchaeum sp. AZ1
Lineage: Archaea; Nanobdellati; Microcaldota; Candidatus Micrarchaeia; Candidatus Micrarchaeales; Candidatus Micrarchaeaceae
Also listed under: 2 other names
Rfam family: tRNA
About the family: Transfer RNA (tRNA) molecules are approximately 80 nucleotides in length. Their secondary structure includes four short double-helical elements and three loops (D, anti-codon, and T loops).
Source: Rfam by way of RNAcentral
GGGCCCGUAGUCGAUUGGUAAGACGUUCCCCUCACACGGGAAAGAUACGGAGUUCGAUUCUCCGCGGGCCCA